ACCCCUGUGAACAUACCACUUGUUGCCUCGGCGGAUCAGCCCGCUCCCGGUAAAACGGGACGGCCCGCCAGAGGACCCCUAAACUCUGUUUCUAUAUGUAACUUCUGAGUAAAACCAUAAAUAAAUCAAAACUUUCAACAACGGAUCUCUUGGUUCUGGCAUCGAUGAAGAACGCAGCAAAAUGCGAUAAGUAAUGUGAAUUGCAGAAUUCAGUGAAUCAUCGAAUCUUUGAACGCACAUUGCGCCCGCCAGUAUUCUGGCGGGCAUGCCUGUUCGAGCGUCAUUUCAACCCUCAAGCACAGCUUGGUGUUGGGACUCGCGUUAAUUCGCGUUCCUCAAAUUGAUUGGCGGUCACGUCGAGCUUCCAUAGCGUAGUAGUAAAACCCUCGUUACUGGUAAUCGUCGCGGCCACGCCGUUAAACCCCAACUUCUGAAUGUUGACCUCGGAUCAGGUAGGAAUACCCGCUGAACUUAAG
RNAcentral lists this ribosomal RNA (476 nucleotides) under Fusarium oxysporum f. sp. lycopersici. RNAcentral's name for it is "eukaryotic LSU rRNA". The stretch from base 130 to 283 matches the Rfam family "5.8S ribosomal RNA". The record is from RNAcentral. Lineage: Eukaryota; Fungi; Ascomycota; Sordariomycetes; Hypocreales; Nectriaceae.